AGCAGCCGCGGUAAUUCCAGCUCCAAUAGCGUAUAUUAAAGUUGUUGCAGUUAAAAAGCUCGUAGUUGAACCUUAGGCCCGUGCGGGUGGUCCGUCCUCUGGGCGAGCACUGCCUCGUCGCGGGUCUCACCUUCUGGCGAGCGUGGAUGCCAUUCACUUGGUGUCGGCGGGAACCAGGACCUUUACCUUGAAAAAUUAGAGUGCUCAAAGCGGGCUCGUACGCUUGAAUACAUUAGCAUGGAAUAAUGAAAUAGGACGACGGUUCUAUUUUGUUGGUUUCCGGGACAGUCGUAAUGAUUAAUAGGGAUAGUUGGGGGCAUUCGUAUUCAAUUGUCAGAGGUGAAAUUCUUGGAUUUAUUGAAGACGAACUACUGCGAAAGCAUUUGCCAAGGAUGUUUUCAUUAAUCAAGAACGAAAGUUGGGGGAUCGAAGACGAUCAGAUACCGUCGUAGUCUCAACCAUAAACUAUGCCGACUGGGAAUCGGGCGAUGUUAUUUUUC
Molecule: small RNA, 500 nt
Filed under: uncultured Paraglomus
Lineage: Eukaryota; Fungi; Glomeromycota; Glomeromycetes; Paraglomerales; Paraglomeraceae
Description: bacterial SSU rRNA
Rfam family: Eukaryotic small subunit ribosomal RNA
Source: RNAcentral